This 253-nucleotide ribosomal RNA is filed under the name uncultured bacterium. RNAcentral describes it as "partial 16S ribosomal RNA". It matches the Rfam family "Bacterial small subunit ribosomal RNA", at positions 524 to 776 of the family's 1533-position model. The record is from RNAcentral.
UACGGGGGGAGCAAGCGUUGUUCGGAAUUACUGGGCGUAAAGCGUGCGCAGGCGGUGAGCUGUGUCCGAUGUGAAAGCCCCGGGCUUAACCUGGGAAUGGCAUUGGAAACUGGCUCGCUGGAGUGUGGCAGAGGGGGGUGGAAUUCCGCGUGUAGCAGUGAAAUGCGUAGAGAUGCGGAGGAACACCGAUGGCGAAGGCAGCCCCCUGGGCUAACACUGACGCUCAGGCACGAAAGCGUGGGGAGCAAACAGG